GCCGGUUUGGCUCAGUGGAUAGAGCGUCAGCCUGCGGACUGAAGGGUCCCAGGUUCGAUUCCUGUCAAGGGCA
Myotis davidii is the source of this 73-nucleotide non-coding RNA. The record is from Rfam. Lineage: Eukaryota; Metazoa; Chordata; Mammalia; Chiroptera; Vespertilionidae.